UGCAUGCUCAGUGCUGAUGAGCUUACUCCAGUCAAUCUCCUCUCAUCAGCCUGUGUCCUGGGAAGCUUAGCCAAGCAAAGGGGAACUUCAUGGGGGAAACUGGUGGAAAAGGAGAAGAACCACACCAAAGUUGUUAUGCUAGUCCCAUAGCAUGACCUUUGGAAUCGAUCUUUUAGGAUUUUCUCCACAACUGUGAGGUUUUGAGACCUGUUUUAAUUUUGAACGAGACUGGAAUUAUAUAAUAGUGAGCCGCUGGGACAUGGGCCUAGGAGGAAAGAGUUUAAUAACAAGGCCAGCAAUAGAAAGGAUAGAUUUGGAAGGACUGAUACUGCUGGAUUACCUACUCCUUCCACUAGGAGUGGGUCACGAUGGAGUUGUAUUGUUUUUACCAGCAGAUGACUAAAGACAGUUUUCUGGAAAACAAAUGCAUCCUGAUCAAAGAGACUCCUGCCUAGUGAAAUGAAACAGAUUGAAAUCUAUUUAUCCAUUUAAACAUUGUGCUAAGCUCC
Molecule: long non-coding RNA, 509 nt
Filed under: Numida meleagris (helmeted guineafowl)
Lineage: Eukaryota; Metazoa; Chordata; Aves; Galliformes; Numididae
Description: lncRNA (ENSNMEG00000019963.1)
Source: RNAcentral